UCCGGUGGCUAUAGCGAGAGGGAAACACCUCUUCCCAUUCCGAACAGAGAAGUUAAGCCUCUCAGCGCCGAUGGUACUGCAGGGGAAGCCCUGUGGGAGAGUAGGACGCCGCCGGGA
This 117-nucleotide ribosomal RNA is filed under the name Gaiellales bacterium. The record is from RNAcentral. Lineage: Bacteria; Bacillati; Actinomycetota; Thermoleophilia; Gaiellales.